RNAcentral lists this ribosomal RNA (397 nucleotides) under uncultured bacterium. RNAcentral describes it as "partial 16S ribosomal RNA". It matches the Rfam family "Bacterial small subunit ribosomal RNA", at positions 523 to 918 of the family's 1533-position model. The record is from RNAcentral.
AUACGUAGGUGACAAGCGUUAUCCGGAUUUACUGGGCGUAAAGGGCGUGUAGGCGGUCUUGCAAGUCAGAAGUGGAAUUCCUGAGCUCAACUCGGGCGCUGCUUCUGAAACUGCAGGACUUGAGUGCUGGAGGGGAUAGCGGAAUUCCUAGUGGAGCGGUAAAAUGCGCAGAUAUUAGGAAGAACACCGGUGGCGAAGGCGGCUAUCUGGACGGUAACUGACGCUGAGGCGCGAAAGCGUGGGGAGCAAACAGGAUUAGAUACCCGGGUAGUCCACGCCGUAAACGAUGAAUACUAGGUGUAGGGGGUAUCGACUCCCUCUGUGCCGCAGUUAACACAAUAAGUAUUCCGCCUGGGGAGUACGGCCGCAAGGUUGAAACUCAAAGGAAUUGACGGGG